Molecule: ribosomal RNA, 400 nt
Filed under: uncultured bacterium
Lineage: Bacteria
Description: bacterial SSU rRNA
Rfam family: Bacterial small subunit ribosomal RNA
Source: RNAcentral
GAAUAUUGGACAAUGGGCGCAAGCCUGAUCCAGCCAUGCCGCGUGAGUGAAGAAGGCCUUAGGGUUGUAAAGCUCUUUCGCCGGGGAAGAUAAUGACGGUACCCGGAGAAGAAGCCCCGGCUAACUCCGUGCCAGCAGCCGCGGUAAUACGGAGGGGGCUAGCGUUGUUCGGAAUUACUGGGCGUAAAGCGCGCGUAGGCGGCCUGCCAAGUUGGGGGUGAAAGCCCGGAGCUCAACUCCGGAAUUGCCUUCAAAACUGGCUGGCUUGAGUCCGGGAGAGGUGAGUGGAAUUCCCAGUGUAGAGGUGAAAUUCGUAGAUAUUGGGAAGAACACCAGUGGCGAAGGCGGCUCACUGGACCGGUACUGACGCUGAGGUGCGAAAGCGUGGGGAGCAAACAGG